UCCCAACAGACAUCCCUGGUGGACACUUUCCUGCCAGGAAGCCAAGCUGUGGCACCUUCCUGUGGCUCUUCUGCUGCUCUCCAGCCCCAGCUGCUGCCUGAGCCAGGAGCCUUUUGUUAACUAUUUCCUGCUCUGGUUUCCAUGGAAAACAGAAAAUCACAUGCACCAUCUCCCAAGAGAGGACAGAAAUGCCUCUGUCCUGGAAAUCUCUCUGCCUUUAACAAAUGAGGCCAAAGAGAAAAACCAUCAAGAUGCAAACCAGGGAUUUCAAGUCUAUCUGCUCAAGUGCCACAAACCCUUAAUAUUUUAGAAUAAUCAAGUACUAAAAAAUUCCCAAGCUGUUUAGUUUCAGCUCAUUGCCCCAGGGCUUCUGUGUCUCCUGGGUAACACCGUCCACCAGCAGGAGACCUGGCAGCAUCCAAAGCCCUGUAAGUGAGAGGUUCAGUGCCCAAAGCUGGGCUGAGAUGUCCAGAAGAGGAGUGCCUGAUUUCAGCUCUUUGCAGUGCUGUUUGAAGCCUGAUUUCAGCACCUUGGAGUCUCAACUUCCAUGAGAUCUGCACUCGCACCAGGCCUCCUCGCCCAGCUGGAAGCUAAAAGCAGCUUUGUUUCAGUGGCUUCAGCUGGGCAGCAUUUGCCCCAUGACAUCUGAAGAACGGGGCUCAGCUGAGGUUCAAGGUGCAGGAGUGAGGAGGGAUGUGAGGAAGGCCCCAAGUUGUGAGCAGCUGAGGAACAGGUUCUGUCUUGCACUCCCGCUACAGCCACAUCAGAUGGGCCAUAAAUCAUGGAAUAAUACAGGCAGGAACUGGGACUUGUCUGUUCGGAGUGGAAGCCGUCAAGAAGUGCAUCCUCUCAGCCAGGGCCUGAAUUAGCUGGAACUUUCCUGAAAUUUCCAUCCCAGCUGGAACUUUCCUGAAAUUCUCCGUGCGGGAGCACAGCUUUCCACAAAGGGUCCAACAUAUCCACUGACAAAUGCCCAACAACUGAGCACGUUUAAGACUCACAGUCCCAGAUGAGCCAUUUAAUUAUUGAACAAACUUUCCAGAUGUGCUAAAGAUUCUCUGUGUAAUCACUGGGAUCACGGGGGCCAGGCUGGGUCAGCUCAUCCCAGAGUCUUUAGGGCUGCCAUGCAGGAAACACAUCCCAGUCCUUCAGCACUUGCUAAGGCUUCAGCAAGAUGUGCUCCAAGUGUGGCUACUAAACCAAGUGUAGUCUUGGAAAUAUUCCCAAACCAUCAAUCUCAGUGACAAUUAGGUAAGAAAUAUGAAUCCGUUGUUAUCAGUUCAGAGUUUUUCCAGUAACUUUCUACUUAAUCUUUGGAAUGUGCACUAUUCAAAGAGAGAGGAACACAGAUUUAAUUGGGAUGGGAGCAAAUGCAUAAGCCCAAUAUAAUUUGACUUUAAGGAAUGAUCCCAGUAUUUAAAACCUAUCAGUUUUGCCCUCCACCUCAGUUAUUAAUAGCAUAGGUGCAAAAGCAAUCAGCCACUUCUCUUGGGAUGACCCAAAGCUGCUGGGGUUGUGUGGGGAUCUGGAAGGGUAUCUGGGCACCUGCAGGUCAGAACAUUGUGUGCAGAUGCCCUGCUGAAUGCAGCCUG
This is a long non-coding RNA of Vidua macroura (Pin-tailed whydah), 1592 nucleotides long. RefSeq lists it as uncharacterized. NCBI's taxonomy places the organism in Eukaryota, Metazoa, Chordata, Aves, Passeriformes, Viduidae. The record is from RefSeq and is a predicted model, not a curated record. The transcript is spliced from 6 exons.